GCUUACAUGGUUCCUUUAGAGGGUGCUGACGGAACAAAAGCCAAAGCAGUAGCAGUCUGCCACACAGAUACAUCAGCAUGGAACCCUAAGCAUUUGGCUUUUCAAGUCCUAAAAGUUGAGCCAGGAACCAUUCCUGUCUGCCAUUUCCUUCCUCGGGAUCACAUUGUUUGGGUCCCUAAGUAAAAGUCCUGAAGAGUAGAUUCAUACACUAUAGUUUCUUCACAGUGUGCAUUAAAACAGCUUAAAGCAAUAUCCAGUUUGUUCUAUAAUAAUAUACCCACAAGUUUAGUCAUGUAAAAUCUAUCCAUGAAUCAUGUUCUUAGUAAUGGAUAAAAUGAUAUUACUUUCUGUAUCACAAGGGUUUGGUGAUAAAUGUAUUAGUAUUUUAAGUAACUUUUCAGACAUCGUAUUCCAAGUAACUUUGCGGACAUUAUGUUUCUCCAUUAGAUUACUAAUUCUCUUUCAUCACAGAUUAGCCAUCUCCACAGGAAAAUUCUCUGAAGGUAAACUAUCAUGUUCAUCACUCGAUUGCAAUCCGAGAAGAAAUUGUUUUUCCUAUGUCCCAAUAGCAGAAAAAUUUUGGACCAAUUUACAUGAUACAUAUGAGAAUUUUCUAAACAGAGUGUCAUGUCAUGUAUCUCGAAGGAUGCUAACUUAAUAUAGUAAGACCAGCAUUAAAAUCUUUUCAGAUAUGAGUAGGUUCCAAAGUACUCAAAUUUGAGCACCUGUACGGAACAAACCAUUGUGUGCACUGUGCAGCUCUUCGUGUCUGAUUCCUCCACCACUGUGAUGAGCAGCUGCAGCAUCCUCAGUGGCUAACCUCAGGCCCUUGAAAGACUUAUUCAACAGAUUAUGGUGAUAAGUCAAAUAAUUAUAAAUGAUGUCGGCUCCACGGAUCCUUUUAUUCCUGCAAUGCGGAUAAAUGCCCAAGAAUGUUUUAUAAUUAGAAAUGCCUGGAGAAACAAACAAAACCUAUUGGUUAGUUGUGUAAUAUAAUUAUAUACGUGUAUAUGUAUAUAUAGAAACAUGAUUCAUGAGGUUGCUUUAAUCAUUUUCUUCCCCAAUAAUCUGAGUUUUACUGCUCUCUAAUGAUUAUUACUAUCCAAUAAAGAAAAAUGACUUCUUAAACCAAUGUUGGUUUGCCAAAAAAAUAAUCCAACAACAAUAUUUGUUUUCUGAUCACCAAAUUGCAGUGCUGAAAUUUUUUUUAAACGAGUGGAUGACACAAAUCUCCACCAAAGCAAAUGGUUAUGAAACAAAUGGGGUCUUAAUGAAGUGGGGGCAAGGGGUGUUGUUCCAAUAGGGUCGGAAGCGUGUAAAUUAUUGUACUAAAAAAUCACACAAAGUUCAAUUCUCAGGGAAGAGAGGUGGAUCACAUGGAUCUCUUAAAUACCAAGUCUUUCCUUAGACAGAAUAUCCCUUCUAUAGUAAUUUAAUAGCACAAUUAAAUACUACUAUUAUACCCUCAAAUAUUGAAAGAAAAAUAGGACAAGAAAGAACACAAGAGUUUUAACGAGGUUCGGUAAAUUAUACCUACGUCCUCGGGCACUAACACCAGAUGAUAACUUUACUAACUUCAAAGUAUUACAAACAAAUAGAAUUCCUUAAGAAUUCUCAAAUGGGAGAAAAAGAAAACUAAGAGAGAAAGAUUGGUUGGGAUGAAUUGAAAUGAGAAAUGAGAAGGCCUAUUUAUAGUUGAGGUUCAAGGACCAAACAAUAAAUAGCCCAUUAUCUCAAGGACCAAAAAAAAAUUAUCCUUGCCACUUUUCCAAAGUUGGUGGUUGUCAUUAUUGAUUGUCUCCCAUUAAUGUUAAUGGCAACCAUUAUUAAUUGUCUUCCAUUAAUGUUAACAAUCUCCACCUUGAAGAUUUGAUUAGGAUAAUCACAUCUUCACACACUUCCUUCAACUCCCCAAAUUCGAUAAAGCUAUCUUUUGUAGUGCCUACAAAUGCGCUCUCGAGCGCCAUACACCUGAAGGUGCUCAAAUUCUCAGUAUGUUAAUCAAGUUCAAACAAUGAUUAAACUUGAUUGUUGUUACCACCUUGGUCAUCAUAUCUGCGGGAUUAUCUGCUGUCGGAAUCUUCUGAAGUAGAAUUUUUCCUUUUUCAAAGACUUCCCGCACAAAGUGAUAUCUUACGUCGAUAUGCUUGGUUCUUGAAUGAUAGACUUGAUUUUUCGCUAAAUGAAUAGCGCUCUGACUGUCACAAUAUAAACUUAUGUGACUUUGAACAACUCCUAAGUCUUUCAACAAUCCAUUAAGCCAAAUAGCCUCCUUAACAGCUUCUGUAACUGCCAUAUAUUCUGCCUUUGUAGUAGACACAGCUACUGUAGACUGUAAGGUAGACUUCCAACUCACUAGGGCUUUCGCAAGAGUAAACAGAUACCCCGUAGUUGAACGACGUUUAUCUAAAUCACCAGCAAAGUCGGAAUCAACAUAUCCAACUACAAACUGACCAAGUGCUUCAUCCUGUUCAAAAAUUAAACCAACAUCUACGAUUUUUCGAAGAUACCGUAGAAUCCAUUUCACAGCUUGCCAAUGUCCUUUUUCAGGAUCAUGCAUAUACCUGCUCACAACUCCAACAGCUUGUGAAAUGUCAGGCCUCGUACACACCAUCGCAUACAUCAAACUCCCAACUGCAUUAGCAUAUGGGACUUUCGCCAUAUAUUCUCUUUCAUCUUUAGUCUUCGGAGAUAAUUGAGCACUAAGUUUCAAAUGAGAAGCAAGUGGGGUACUUACAUGUUUUGUGUUUUCAUUUACACCAAAACAUUGUAAUACCUUUUUCAGAUAUUGCUUCUGAUUUAAACAGAGCUUGCCUCUCGGUCUAUCUCUACUUAUCUCCAUGCCGAGAAUCUUCUUGGCCUCACCUAGAUCUUUCAUCUCGAACUCUUGAUUCAACUGAGCCUUCAGCUUAUCUAUCUCAUUUUGGCUCUUCGAAGCGAUUAACAUAUCAUCAACAUACAAGAGUAGAUAAAUGAAAGAUCCGUCAUGCAGCUUCUGCAAAUAUACACAAUUGUCAUAUUUGCUUCUUGUGUACUUUUGCCUUCUCAUAAAGCUAUCAAAUCGCUUGUACCACUGCCUCGGGGAUUGCUUCAAUCCAUAUAGCGAUUUGUUAAGCUUACAAACCCAAUUUCUACCACCAGCAUCUGUGUAUCCUUCUGUCUGAGUCAUAUAGAUCUCCUCUUCUAACUCACCAUGCAAGAAAGCCGUCUUAACAUUGAGCUAGCUCCAAAUUCAACUGUGCUACCAAGGCCAACAAAAUUCUAAUGGAGGAAUGCUUCACAACAGGGGAAAAUACAUCAUUGUAGUCAAUUCCCUCCUUCUGAGCGUAGCCUUUAGCUACCAAUCUUGCCUUGUAGCGAAUAUCCUUCUUGCUAGGAGAUCCAUCUUUCUUUGCGAAUACCCACUUGCAUCCGAUUGCCCUUUUACCUUUCGGUAAUUGCGCCAACUCCCAAGUAUUGUUCUUCCGGAGAGACUGCAUUUCUUCAUCCAUGGCGCUUUUCCAUUUAUCACUUUCUAAGCUUUGCAUUGCUUCUUGAUAAGUGAUAGGAAUAUCAUCAACAACGAGAAGGGCGUAGGCCACCAUAUCAGUAAAUCGAGUAGGUUUACGAAUUUCUCUCCGUGGCCUUGCAACUGCAACUGGUUCUGGUGUACUUAGUGGUUCUUGGGUCAGAACCUCUUCAACCUCUAAUUCCUCCAUUGUGGCUGGAGAAUUAGACUUAUUGACUGGGCAAAUCCCCAUCUGCUCAAACUCCACCUGUUUUGGAGUACACUCCACCUGCUGUGGAGUAUUGCUCGUCUGAAUAUCUUUAUCUGCUACCUUUUUCAAUGUGGCAGAUUCAUCAAAGGUAACAUCUCUGCUACAAAUCAUUUUCUUUGUGCUUAAGCACCAAAGACGAAAUCCCUUCACUCCAGAAGUGAUUCCUAUAAAGAGAGCUUUCUUUGCCCUCGGAUCUAAUUUUGACUCCUUUACAUGGUAAUAUGUAGUGGUUCCAAACACAUGUAAGGAAUCAUAAUCUGUAGCCGGUUUUCCAGACCAUACCUCCAUAGGAGUUUUUCUUUCUAAUGCAGAUGAUGGCAAACGAUUAACAAGAUGGCCAGCGUAUGUCACAGCCUCAGCCCAAAAUUGCUUGCCCAACCCAGCAUUGGACAACAUACAUCGAACUUUCUCCAGCAAUGUUCGAUUCAUACACUCUGCCAAUCCAUUCUACUGUGGUGUAUCCCUAACUGUGAAGUGUCGAACAAUACCAUACUCUUGGCACACAUCGAAGAACGGAUCACUUUUAUAUUCCCCUCCAUUGUCCAUCCUAAGCCGCUUGAUUUUCUUGCCAGUCUGGUUUUCGAUCAUAGUUUUCCAUUUAAGAAAAACUCUAAGCACUUCAUCCUUAGUUCUCAUGGUAUACACCCAAACUCUUCUGGAAAAGUCAUCAACAAAAGUAACAAAGUAGUGUUUUCCUCCCAAUGAACGUGUCUUGGAAGGCGCCCACACAUCUGAGUGAACAUAUUCCAAAAUACCUUUUGUAUUAUGGAUAACAGUACCGAAUUUCACUCUCUUUUGCUUUCCCAGAACACAAUGCUCGCAAAAUUUUAAUUUGCAAGCCUUUGCACCUUUCAACAAUCCUUGCUUUGCCAGAAUUUGCAAGGAUUUUUCGCUGGCAUGUCCCAACUUCAUAUGCCACAACUGUAUUGAGUCCAAUUCUUUGUUGCCGGAAGCUGCAGCGACUGCUCCAAUAACUGUACUACCUUGGUAGUAAUACAAGUUAUUUUUCCUGAUGCCCUUCAAUAUCACAAGUGCGCCAGAUGUCACUUUCAAAACCCCAUCUCUCAUAGUAACAACUGAACCAUUGGAUUCCAAGGCUCCCAAUGAGAUGAGAUUUUUCUUCAAACUGGGCACGUACCGAACAUCAGUCAGAACUCUGGUUGAUCCAUCUUUAUUCUUUAAUUGGAUUGAACCUAUCCCAACAGUUUUACAGGCAUUGUCAUUGCCCAUAUAAACAACUCCUCCAUUUAGUUCUACUAAAUCAGAGAACCACUCCCGGUUAGGGGACAUAUGAUAGGUACAACCCGAAUCCAAUAUCCACUCAUCUGAAUGGAACGACGAUGAUGAUGCAACCAGUGAUAGUUCAGAGUCACUAGUAUCAUGCUUAGCAACACAAGCAUCUAUAGCAGCUUUUCCCUUAUUCUUCAGCUUUGGACAAUUUUUAUUCCAGUGGCCUUUCUCAUGAUAAAAAGCACAUUCAUCUUUCCCAAGUCUGGACUUUGACUUUGAUCUCCCCUUUUGAGUUUUCUUCCGAGUGUAUGAACGACCUCGGACUACUAAAGCUUCUGUAUCUCUGAUUGAGUUUUUCUGUUUGUCCUUCUUUCUCUGUUCAUAACUGUAUAAGGCCGCACAGACUUCGCUCAGAGAUAUAUCACUCCUGCCAUGAAGUUGAGUAGUUUCUAGGAACUCAAACUCCUCAGGAAGUGACCCCAACAGCAUCAAAGCCAAAUCUUCAUCUUUGAAUGUCUCAUCCAUAUUCAACAAAUCAGUGACUAACUGAUUAAAUUUGGUGAUGUGAUCAUUCAUUGUGGUACUUGGGACGUAUGUGAAGCGAAAUAGUCUUUUCUUCAAGUGGAGCUUAUUUUGACUGUUUUUCUUCAAAAAAAAUUUUUCAAGUGCCACCCACAACUUAUUUGCAGAAGUCUCCUUUGAAAAAGCAUACCUCUGCUCUCGAGAAAGGCAUGAUCGAAUUGUGCCACAUGCCAACCGAUUGAUUGCCUUCCAAUCUUUCUCCUAUACAUCAUCUGGUUUCUCUUCAUCAAUGGCAAUGUCUAGACCCUGCUGAAAAAGGGCAUCUAGAACAUCACUUUGCCACAUACCAAAAUGGCCCGUACCAUCAAAGAUCUCCACGGCCAAUCUUGCAUUUGCAAUUGUCGGUCUUGUCCACAUGGACGAUGUUGAAGCUCCUACACUGACCGUUUUCUCCAUAAUCUUUCAAUAUACCUAAGGAAAUCUUUUCUGAUGUGGAAGAUCAGUUUAAACUGCAACCACAGAGCAUACUACGAUUAACCUUCGGCUCUUGAUACCACUUGUUGUUCCAAUAGGGUCGGAAGCGUGUAAAUUAUUGUACUAAAAAAUCACACAAAGUUCAAUUCCCAGGGAAGAGAGGUGGAUCACAUGGAUCUCUUAAAUACCAAGUCUUUCCUUAGACAGAAUAUCCCUUCUAUAGUAAUUUAAUAGCACAAUUAAAUACUACUAUUAUACCCUCAAAUAUUGAAAGAAAAAUAGGACAAGAAAGAACACAAGAGUUUUAACGAGGUUCGGUAAAUUAUACCUACGUCCUCGGGCACUAACACCAGAUGAUAACUUUACUAACUUCAAAGUAUUACAAACAAAUAGAAUUCCUUAAGAAUUCUCAAAUGGGAGAAAAAGAAAACUAAGAGAGAAAGAUUGGUUGGGAUGAAUUGAAAUGAGAAAUGAGAAGGCCUAUUUAUAGUUGAGGUUCAAGGACCAAACAAUAAAUAGCCCAUUAUCUCAAGGACCAAAAAAAAAUUAUCCUUGCCACUUUUCCAAAGUUGGUGGUUGUCAUUAUUGAUUGUCUCCCAUUAAUGUUAAUGGCAACCAUUAUUAAUUGUCUUCCAUUAAUGUUAACAAGGGGUGUCUUCAGAUGCAUAUGAAUUUGGUUUACAGGCGAGAUAGAUCACAAAUAUUAUAUUGAUAAAAAAAAUUGAUAUCGUUCGUGGAAAAUCAUUAGUGGAAUGAAGGAGUUAAAGUUCACAUGUUAUUCAUAGAAUGAAUUGAAAGAGUUGAGAGUUUUGAGAGAGAAUUUCAGAAAAAUAAUAAGUGGGAUGUGCAUGUUUUUCUAGAUUAUUUGAAGGCAUGUACGUAAUUAUGCACAACUUAUGGAAUAUAAGUGUUUUAUAUGUAUAAUAUAUUUAUUAAGUUACGAUGAAUCCUUUCACACGUUACUUUUAAAGUUAUGUAAAGUCUUAUUUUUAUAAGUAGUUUUAAGUUAAUAUUAAUGUGAUUGGACGAGACCCACAUAUUGAACAUAUAAAAAAAGUAUCGAUAAUCAUGUAAAAUAAAAUGUAAUCUUCAAAGUAAGUGAAUUUUUUUAAUCAAAAUGGAUUGACUUGACGAAAUUUUUUAAAACGAAAUAAAUAAAUAUCAUCUUACAUAUAUUUAUAUAUGUGUGCAAUAUACAUAAAUGUACCCUUAGCCCACCAAAACUUUCUUUCGCAAAUUUUAGACGGCGAACCAAAACCAAGGUACCUAACCACGUCCUACAAACCAGAUGUUCGUAUAGGUUAGAUGCAGGAUUAAGAAGCCACAACCUAUAAGGCUAAAACUUGCCACAUGCCCAUAUGACAUCUUACUUUCAAAAAAAAGAAAAAACAUGACAUUCAACUCAAAUCCUAUACAAAUACCUUUAUUUGUAAGAAGAAAUUUUCUCAUUUAUUGACUAUAAUUAUUAGAUUUUACAAGUAAAAUUUACAAAGUGGCACAGAUAUUUAGUCCAAUGAUAAAUCCGCUUUAUAGAUGAAAAGUAUAAAAAAUUAUAUAUUUUUCUUUUAAAUGAAAGCUAAAUUAAAAAAAAAACAAUUAUAUGGCUGAUUGUUUUUAUUGUAUUUUAAAAAAAGUUAAGUGAGUAGGUUUUUUACCCUGUGAUUCCCAAAAAAAAUGUUGUCAUCGAGGAUUGUUACCUAUACACAGAUAAAUUCAAGGAAAACUAUUUCAUGCAAGCUAAUCAUAUUUAAAAGCAAGCAAAGGGUCGUAAACAUUGUAGAUUGGAGCAUUUCAUGAAACAUAGUUACAAGCUAGAGUAUCAUCCCAUGACCCAUAGCAGUCUUCUAUAUUAUUGGGUUUUUGCAAACUUGGGCUUGAAUACACAAAUAGAAUAUAAUCACAGAAAACUUUGUUUUUUGUGUAUUGAAUUUGGGUUUAUGCUUCAUUUUAUUAUCGACAAUGAUAUCAGAACCUAUUUUAAAUCCAACAUCAUGACGAUUUGAUUUUUAUUUGUUUAAUAAUAUUUUGUCCCCUAACUAAUUGGCAAUUGAAAACUUCUACCCUUUGUAUGCAUGAUUAGUUUAGAAAUUUUGUGCAUAAUUAUCAAGCAACGUCGUGAUUACAAUUCUUGAACUCGAUUCCAUGAUAAGGAGUUCAAAUUUUAAAGUCGACCAAAGCAAGUUAGUAUCUUUCACUCUUUUAACAUAUAUUUCCAACUUCAUAUAUAAACAUUUAUUUAUACUCAUGGUUUAGAAACAGGGCUGAAAAAACUCUCUUGAAAGCAGAUACCAUUGGCGGCAGCCAUGGGUUUAUGUGAAGAAGAAAAGAUGCCUCUAUCUCUAUGAGUAGAAUUAUUGCAGUGGGUCACACCUUCGCUUUCAUUUACUUCAACUUCUCAGGUAAUAUUCCAACAUUACAGCGUUGAAUUGUUUGCAAAUUUAUUUACCUCAUAUUCCCACUUUCUUUGAUCUCUCCUUGUCCCAACCACGUUGGAUUUUGAACCAUUUGGUCUUAUAUUACAUAACAUACAAAUGAAAAGAAAAGAAAAACAUUUGCGAUUCCGACCAUAAAUAAAUAAUGUUCUGUUCUGUAACGAGAAACAGCCAAAGCUUCCAGCACUUACAAUAAUAAUAAAAGUAAUGAGGGUAAAGGCUUCAAAGUUUUUUUUUUUUUUGUUUUUUUUUAAAUAAAGGAUAAGGAGUAAGGAUUAUCUUAUGAUCCAACUUAGCAUUAGUGUUUAAUUGAAAAUUUAAAUACAAUAACUUCAAGAUAGAGUACAGUGUCCGUGUGGUGUUUGUUUUUCUACCUUCCCUGCAGGAUCCGAAACUUCCAAUUCAAGUUUCUUGCUAUAGAUAAGGUGUUUCGUAAGAAAACGUAAGUCUUAAAAGAGUUACAAGACAGCACCAGUUAUAUGGCCCUUGCUAGAUUCAUAGUUACUUUCCCAUGUACCGACUCUAAAGUGAAUGACUUUUUUUUUUCUUUGCAUAGCACUUUUUUUUUCCCCGAAAAGGAUAGGUAUCAAAAUGAUAUAUGUAUUUUAGGGCCAACACUCAGAACCACUUUUUGACCACUCAUAGUUUAGUUAAAAUCAAAUUUCGUUCUGUCUUUUGACACACUAUUUUCUCUGUCUAUUGAAAUGCUCUUCUGCUGUUGUUAGCACGCUUUCGUCUCUUGUUUUGCUUGUUGUUUAUUUUCUUUGAUUUAGUCAUUAUUGUAGUUAAGAACAUUGAUGAUUCUAUAGCAGACCUGUCACUGGAGUAUGAUGAAGAUGAAACCAUUCAAUUAGGGGCCGAAUCUUCAGAGAGUGAAACCUUGUAUGCUAAUUGUUUUGUAGGAAUGUUUCUUACCUCCAGUGUAGUUAAUUUCCAAGCGAUGAGAUUGACUUUGGCUAAUUUUUGGCAUCCAAUAGAGGGAGUCUCAAUCUCGAAUCUAGGCAAUGAAAGAUUCUUAUUCAAAUUUUAUUUUGAAGUUGACGUGGACAAAGUUGAAAAAAAUGGGUCAUGGAAUUUCAACUCUCAUCUAUUGGUGCUACAUCGGUUAAAGGAAGAGGAAGACCCUUUAUCUGUUCAAUUAAAUUGGGUAGACUUUUGGAUGCUUAUCCAUGAUCUUCCCCUUGGUUUCAUGUCUGAAGCGGUUGCUAGACAGUUGGAUAGUUUUAUUGGUGUUUUCCUUGAAUAUGAUGCAUCAACGACUCAGUUGGGUUAUAAAAGAAUAAUGAUGUUAAAUGUGCGAAUUGAUGUUAGAAAACCAUUGAAAAAGAAGAAGAAACUCACCUCUCGAAUGGUGAGUGGAUUUAUGUUCGAUUUGAAUAUGAAAAACUCAUUUUAUUUUGUUUCCUUUGUGGUAAACUAAGGCAUGGUAAAACUUUUUACCCGAUCAGAGCUCACAAUCCGCUACAAGAGUAUGUUUUCCGUUGGGAUAUAUCUUUACGUGCUCAGUUAAGGAAAAAUUUGGCUUGGAAGAGUAGAUGGUUGGUGGAGGAUGACGAUUGUGGUACUUUAAUUUAUGGAAACUAUAACACCCCUAACCCUUAUCCGUCGCCGGAACAGGGUUACAAAACAUUACCAGACUUUACAGAUUAAAUAUGAACAUUUCACAACUUUUAUUAUACAUGUUAAGAAUCAGUUAUAAAACACUCAUGUUGUCCCUUAGAUGGACCCUCAAGGCACAAUAUACACUUUAGAAAUGAAUUGGGACUAAACCGGAUACUUAGAGAAUUUUUCCUAAAAUCUCAAAAAAAUUUCUUAAAAGUAGGGGACACACGUCUGUGUGGCUCACACAGCCAGGAGACACACCCGUGUCUUAAGCCGUGUAGGCAUUCGAUGUGAGGCACACAACCGUGUCUCAGCCCGUGCCCUUACCCGUGUAACUCUCUGACUUGGGUCACACGGCCAUCCACAUGCCCGUAUGCUAGGCCGUGUGCAAGAUGUAAAGGUCACACAGCCAAGCCACACACCCGUGUGCUAAGCCGUGUGUAAAAACUUGAGCAUUCUGUUUUAAAAUUUUAAGGUGCAGGGGACACACGGCCAGACCAUACGCCCAUGUGUCAGGCCGUGUGGACGAAAAUAGACCAUUUUCAAUACAUCAAAUAGCCCCAAUCAAACAAUCAACACAAGCCAAAAAUCAUGUUUUAAACAUAAUAUAUCAUCACAAAACUCAAUUGCCAAAACUUACCAAAAUAACUCCGUUCAUUGAUUUACCAAAAUCUACUACUAAAUAUAUGCAUACUAACACAUAUAUAUGUCAUUCACAACCAUACUUCAAAUUUAGCUCUUUUCUAACUCGGCCCUAUACAUGUCAUAUAAACCAUAAAAUGUAUAACAAAAUCUACUGGAGCAAACUAGAUAGUGUGGCUCUAUGUGUUGAUCCGAUGCUUUAAACUUCUUAAAAAUCUAAAAAGAACAUUAAACGACACAGUAAGUUUAAUGAAGCUUAGCAAGUUCGCUGGCUUUAAAUAUAAAUCUUACCGAACAUACUAUAAUAAUUUAUUUAGGUAAAUUAUUUCACAAACAUUUCCUGCCAAUCACAACUUCAAUUAAUGAAUUCACUCAUUUGAGCUCAAUAUCAAUAAUAACUUAAAUUCUUCCACAUUAAUUCCAUUUGGCACUUACCAAUCAUUAUCAAACCAGAGAACGUCUUACGGAUUUGAGUACAUCGUAAAUAGAAAUCCAUAAGGGUUCAUCUAAAGCUCAAAAGAGUUAAACGGAAACCCAUUAGGGUUAAAUUGAAGCUCAAAAGAGCUAAACUGAAAUCCAGAAGCGUUAAUUUGAAACUCAUGAGUUUACUGAAGCUCGUGAGAGCUAAACGGAAAGCAAAUACGAGAGUUCGCAACAAAUGUUGAACAUCGGUUUACUUGGGUAAUUUUACCGUCAAUUCCUAUUUUGCACUAAACGACUAUACUCAAUCCUACGUUCCAUUCACUUCAAACACUUGAUGCAAUUUCAUAAAUUUAACAAUAAUUUUAUUUUCAACAAAUGUUACGAAUAAAUACAAAAAAUCAUUCAUCAAUUAACAUAUCACAUUAAAUUUUAACCAUUAGAACUUACCUGGGUUAAAUUGUGGAAAUUGUAAUGGUUCAGAGAUUAUUUGGCUAUUUUCCCAUUUUUCGCGUUGGUCUAAGGGCUCUUGAUCUAAAAUAUAAAAUUAUUAAUUCAUUAGCACAUGCUUCAAUUCUAAUUCACUUCACAAUUUAUACCACUCAAUUUUUGAAAUUAUACAAUUACCUCAACUUUUACAGUUUUUGUAAUUUAGUCCAUCGCCAAUUAACUCAUCAAAUAAGCUAAUUUUUCUCAAGUAACACUUUAUCUAAAUAUUUUAAACUAUUACACAGCCUUUGAUAAACAUAAUUUAAUACUAAACCCUAAGAUUUAAUUUUUUUACAAUUUGGUCCUAAAAUCAAUUUCCCUUGAAAGCACUUGAUAAAAUCAUCAUAUAACAAAAUUAAAACUUCAAAUCCAUGUUAAUUCAUCAUAAAAAUGCAGCACUCAUCAAUGGUAGCUUUCAAGAUUACUCAUAAAAUCAAAAACUAAUGAAUUAGAUAGUUAGACCUAAUUACAGAAGUCUUAAAAACACAAAUUUUAAGAAAAGAGCAAGAAUUGAACUCACAUGUAGCAAAAUAUGAAAUCCAACUUCUUAAGGGUUCUUCAAUGGUGUUUUUAGCUGAUAAAUUGAAGAAGAAUAACUUAGAAAAGUUGAGAAUUCAAUUUAUUUAAGUUUAUUUCACAAAAUUUACAAUUUUGCCCUUUAAUCACAUGAUUUUUGUUUUCUUUUCUGCUUAUGCCGCCUCAGGCCUUUGUUUUAGGCAUAAUUGCUCCUUAAGUCCUUCUUUGUUCAUUAAUUAAGUCAUUUAAUCAUUAUUUCUUUAAUUAGCAAGUUUUGCACCUUUUUCUAAUUUAAUCUUUUUUAAUUAAUUAACUAUCGAAACGUUAAAAUUUUCUAACGAAAUAUUUAUAAAAAUAUUUACAGCUCAGUUUAUAAAAUCGAGAUCUUGAUACCUCGUUUUCAAAACUAGUUAAUCUAACAAAUAUUUCUAAAGCAUAAAUCACUAAUUCAUAAGCCUUCUUAAAUUCAGAAUCGAAUCAAAAACACUAUAUAAUAAAAUUUAUGAAUUAAUUUAUCGGAUUUAGUGUUCUCAAACUACUAUUUUCGAAACUACUGAAAAUUGGACUGUUACAAAAACUCUAUAAAAAUACGGAAAGGAGAAAUUUUGAGGUUUCAUAAUCUGUUUGCAUAAAUCAAUGAGCAAAUUCAGAAUUUAUUUCCAAUUAUUCCCUCUCAACAAAAGGAAUGGUGAAUGUCUAGUUGACUUCAAGCCCAAUAAAUAUGGGUGAAAUGGGUCGAGCUUACAACGAAGCUAGGAACAUCUUUGAUGCGAAUAUGGCAAUUUAUGAGGAGGAGAAUAACCCAAUAAAAUAAAGUGAUGGGCUAAAAAGACCUUUUUUUAAGUCUACUUCAGGAGUUUCUAAUAAGGAAGAUUUGAAUGAAGUUUCGGGUACUCUAUUACAGGUACCAAAUUCUAGUAGAUCGCCAGGCCCUGCUAAGUGGGCUAGUCGGAUGCAAUGAAGCUGUUGAGUUGGAACAUUCAGGUAAAGGGGAGGUCUUGGACAGUUUGUUGUCUCCAGCAUAUGCUGAGAGAUAUAAAUCUCUCUAUAGUGUUCCUAAUUGAGAUGAAACUAUAGGGUUUUAAUAUGGAAGGAACAAGACGCAAAUGUGGAUUUCUUAAUGGGAUGGAUGUUGAUUCAUAUGGUAGAAGUGAGGGUUUAUCAAUGGGUUGGAGUAGCGAUUAUAAGAUUUGUCUUCGGUCUUUUUCGAGAAGGGACAUUGGCAUUAUGAUUGAUAAGGAUACUGAUGGUAAAACUUGGUGAUGUACGGGGUUUUAUGAAGUGCCCGAGGAGAAUCUGAGGAGGCAUCGUAAAAUUUAUUGCAUUCUUUAGAUGACUGCCCACAUAUCCCUAUGUUUGUAAUAGGGGAUUUUAAUGAAAUAGCUUAUUCAUCUGAAAAGAAAGGUGGAUUACUUCAGAGGGAGAGACAAAUGAGAAGAUUUUGGGAAGCUCUUUAUGAUUGCUCUCUUACAGAUUUGGGCUAUAGAGGACAAUGGUUUACCUGGGAAAAAGGUCGUACUCGAGCAAACAAUAUUAGGAAACGUUUGGAUCAAAGGGUAGCUAAUGCAGUUUGAUGGGAUUUAUUUCAAAAUUACAAAAUGCAUCAUCUCACGCAUUCUUUUUUAUUGCAAUCAGAUUUUGAAAAUAAUCAUGCGAAAUGGUGUCACUUCAAGUUCGAGGUUGCGUGGCUUUUGGAAGAAACGUGUGAGUCAAAUGUUCUAAAAUUAUAGACUGAAAAUUUGGGUGAUGUCCUUAAUAGAUUGAAGGUGUUUGGUGUGGGCCUUAAAGCGUGGUUCAAAAGGAUUAAAAAGAUAGGGGUUUGUCGAAAAAAGAUCUUAAGAAGCAAUUCAUUAAGUUGAACAAAUCAUACCUAACUGAUGAGGUGUUGGGUGAUAUUGUUGAGAUAAAACUAGCCCUUAAUAUGGAGGCCGGUAGGGAGGAACUCUACUGGGAACAAAGAGCCAGAGCUAAUUGGAUGAAAAAUGGUGACCGAAACACAAAAAUUGCAACAAAAAGAAGACGAAGGAAUAUGAUGGAUAAACUACUAGAUUUUGAUGAAAAUUAUUAUAAGAGCAAUGAGGAGCAGUUGUCACUUGCCACUGACUACUUUGCCUCUCUAUUCACUUCAACUAGAAUCGAAAAUCCAGGUUCUAUAUUAGAAGGGGUUGAGCCGUGCAUUACUCGAGCAAUGAACGAGGAACUUGCAAAGGAUUUUUCUUACGAGGAUAUUUGUAUGGCGUUAAAAUCAUGAAUACAUUAAAGACUUCUGGUGAGGAUGACUUGGGUGCAAUUUUUUAUCAAUGGUUUUGGCAUAUUAUGGGUAAAGAGGUAGCAAAUUAUUGUAUUGAGAUUUUAAAUGGAGGCACAAUAUCGCUGAAAUCAACCAGACACAAAUUGUUUUAAUCCCUAAGGUUAGCUGUCCAUGAAUUAUGGCUCUAUUUAAACCGAUUAGCCGUUAUAAUACCCUUUACAAAAUUAUUGCAAAAAUGCUAGUGAAUAGGUUUUAAAAAGUCUUUCACUAUUGUAUAGAUGAGGUACAAAGUGCAUUUGUACCAGGGAGGCUUAUCACUGAUAAUAUUUUAGUUGUCUAUGACGUUUUACACUCCAUGAAAAAGAAAAAGAAAAAGAUAAGAGAUGAAGGGUCUUUUGCUUUGAAGCUUAACAUGAGUAAAACGUAUAAUAGACUAAAGUGUGCGCUCAUUAAUGUCAUGCUUAGCCGAAUGAGUUUCUCGAAGUUGUGGGUUCAGAAAAUUAUGAGAUGUAUUGAAAUGAUUUCUUAUUCUGUGGUUAUGAGCGGAGAGGUGGGUAAUUUGUUUCUUCCUUAUCGGGGGCUUAAACAAGGGGGCCCACUUAAUCCUUAUUUAUUUCUUAUUUGGGGAAGGUCUGUCAUCUUUUCUUAGAAUGGCUGCUACAAGUGGGGAUCUCAAGGGUGCUUGCAUUAAGAGACACGCUCCAGUUAGCACCCACUUGUUAUCUUUGCAAAUGACAGUCUUAUCUUUGGAAAGGCCACAACAGAUGGGGCUAUGGUGCUUAAUGAAAGACUGGAGAUUUAUGCCAAUAGUUUGGGUCAAUUAAUAAUUUUUGAUAAGUCUGGUAUGUUUUUAGUUCCAAUGUUGAGUAGAAUAGCAAAAAAGAGGUUUAUCGAAUUUUAGGGGUUAAUCCAAACAUUAAUCCAGAAAAGUAUAUUGGUCUCCUUUAAAUCGUGGGGCAAAACAAAAAGAGGGCUUUUAGGGAGAUAAAAGAAAAUCUAAUUAAAAGAGUGUUUAGUUAGAGUUCGAGAAUGCUUUCGGUGGGUAUAAAAGAGGCCCUUAUCAAAAUAGUAUUUCAGGGAGUUCCCAUGUAUACCAUUUCUUAUUUCUUGAUGCCCAAUUCCUUUUGUAAGGAACUUGAAACUGUUAUUGCUAGAUUUUGGUGACAGAAGAAAGCUGGGAGGAAUGGUUUACAUUGGAGUUCUUGGAAACCAUUGUGUAUUCCAAAAGAGGAUAAAGGUAUGGGUUUCCGUAAUCUUUCUAAAUUUAAUAUUUCUUUAUUAGCAAAACAAUGUUAGAGAUUGAUGGAAAAUCCAGGCUCGUUAACAAGAUUAAUUCGAGAAAAAUAUUAUCACGGUUUAAAUUUUCUAGAAGCCCCAUUGGGCUCAUACCCGUCCCUAAUUUGGAAAAGUAUAUGGUGUUCCAAAGCUUUGUUAAAAUCUGGUAUUGGAUGAAGGAUUGGUUCUGGGCUAUCUAUCUUGAUAUGGCAAGACUAUUGGUUACCGAGGAAGAAUAGAGCACUAAUUACUACAAACAAGGUAGCAAGAUUGGAAUGUGUAAGUGAUUUGAUUCUCCCAAACCCAAAUAGAAGAGAUCGACAAUUAAUCUACUCAACUUUCACGGAGGAAGAAGGAAAUUUGAUUGUAAGAAUCCCUAUACCUAUCACUAAUCAAUCUGAUAAAGUAAUAUGGUCUAGAGAAAAAUCAGGUUUUUAUUCAGUAAAAAGCAGUCACAAAGCCUUCAUCGAACUUCUCAUUUGAGUACUAUUGAGCAAUAUAAUUUUAAGCAAAUUUGGAGUUUAACGUGCCUAUCAAAAAUUCACAUUUUAAUGUGAAAAUUUGCAAAUAUAUAUAUUCCUACUUUCCAGAAUUUGCAUUAUAGAAGAAUUUUGUCAGAGAAUAGUUACCCGCGCUGUCAGGAUUGUAGUAAAUCACAUGUUCAUGUUGCUCGAUACUGUGCAUUCACUAUGCAUGUUUGAUCAAAAUUAAAUUAUCAGUGGCCAAGUUCAAUGCGUCUAUGAGUUUUAACAACUGGUUAAACUGGCUAUUCAUAAAUUCAUCCAGUAACAGUAAAGGGGAAAUAGCCAUUACAAUUUGGGCAAUCUGAUUUUCCCGCAACAAACUGAUACAUGAAAGAAAAGUACAAAGUGUGGAGGAAGUUGUUACCUUUAUCAGGGGUUAUGGCAGGGAGUACAAGAGGCGUUUUGGAAUAUUACAACACCCCUGACCCAGAUAGUUGAUAAAAUGGGAGCCCCCCCUACGAAUUGGGUCAAAGUGAAUGUUGACGUCGGUUUCUCAGAGGCAAAACAACAUGCAACAUUGGGUUUCUUAAUUAGAAAUGAUGAAGGUCUUAAAAUAGGGUCGGGAAUCAGAACUCAUAACCUAGUUAGAUCGGUGGUGUUGGCUAAAGCGAUGGCUGCUCUUCACGGGCUCUAGUUUGCGUUGGAGAUGGGUUUCACGAAAAUUAUUUUGGAAAGUGACUCUAAAACAAUUAUUAAAAACCUCCAAGCAACAAAGGAAGACUAUUCAGAGAUAAGACCGAUUACUUGGGAUGUGAAGGCUCUUACAAUGAAAUUUUCUUCAUGUCAUUUUGAGUUCGUUGCGGGAGAAGGUAACGCAGUGGCGCAUGCGAUGGCGGUCGAAGGGAUGAGAAGAUCAGAAGACUCGUUCUGGGUUGAAGAUGCCCUAUUAAAAGCGAUGGAAAUGGCAGAUUUGGAUCGUCUUUUCAUCUGGCCACCAUAAUUUCCCUCCUCUGCUGCUCGCUGCUCUGGGUUGAGAACUUCUGAUAUUCUAAAGGUAUAUCUCAACUCCCUUCCAUUGUUUGCUAGUUCUGAUUACCAGAUCUCGCAAGGUUUUGGCUGUUUGGGUUUUCUGGUCACUGAAGGGUUUGGAAGAAGCUUCUAGAGUUGCAUCAUGUUUUAUUUUCUUUAUUUUAUCUGUUUGAACUUCAUUUUCUAUCUGCUUUUGUUUUGGACUUCCAAGCCCAUUUUAAUCAAAAUGAACCGUUUAUUCAAAAAAAAAAAUAACUUUUUGACAAAAAAAAUACUUUUAAGCAAAAGCUAAAAAUUUUUAGUUUUGCUUUUGAUAAAAAAAAUAAUUUUGUAAAAUAUUUUUUUAUCUCAAAAAUAUUUUUAAAAAGCUCAAAAGUAUAUUGUUUAGUAAUAUUUUCAAAUCAAAAGUAUUUUUUGUCUCAAAAAUACUUUUGAAAAGUAAUACUAAUCAGACUCAAAAGUAAUUACGAUUUUUUUGUGUCCUUAGACACCGAUAGACACUCAAUUUGAUUGUUGGAACUGAAAAAAAAAGAAGUGUUACUUUCAUGUAUUUUCCAAUUAUUAUAUAUAAGGAGAUGGUAGUGAAACACUUUUUUUUCUCAAUUAAAAAAAAAAUUUAAGUGAGUAGUUUAUGGGAGAGUGAGUAGUUUUCUUUUUAGAUCUGACUUUUUUAAAGGUUGGAAUUAAUGAAUAUAAAAGUAAAAAGAUUGGUAAAUAUUGAUUAUUUACUGUUUUGUUCUACAUUUUCUUGAUUUAUAUUAACUUUUAAAGAGAUUUUAGUAACGUCAGUUAAGACCAUAAACUUAAUCAGAAAUAGUAAAAAACUUUAUGGCAGAAAAAAGUAAAAAAUAACUAAAAAAGAAAAAGGGAACUAAAAUAUGAUAACCUCUUAAUCCACUAAUGAAAUAAAAAUUUCACUAUUUAUAAUCUACUUCCCUUUUCCGGGCCAGUGUUUCAAACUAGAAACUUCUUUGGGUCAUCUUCAUAUUAGAUUGAAGCCCGAUUUUAGGUUUAUGUACCAAAACCAAAAAUUAGUUAUGUUUGGUAAAUGAAUUUGAAUACAUGCACCACCACUCUCAAUGCUCACCCACCUAAGCCCAUGACAUAAACUGCAUUUAAGUGAACCAGUGGCAGUUGGAGCCAUUAUGUUGGUUGAAAAAUAUUGUUGGCAGUGUUAUUCAGCAGUACUUGUUCUAAGGCUCCUACUACAUUUCUCAUUAUAAAUGUGGAGAAAUCUUGUUCUACUUUCCAUUCCAUGCAACACUAACUUUUAGAUUCCCUUUCCAUUGCACUGCUCUUUCUUUCUAUAGAAUUAGUCACUCCUGUUCUAGAUGAAGGUUCUCUCCCCAAUUCUUGCUUGCCUAGCGGUAAGUUUUUCGAUUUCAUGUGAUUAUUCGUUGUUGAAUGCAAAGAACUAUGAAGGGUUUUUUUUUACCUCAACUUUUCUUGUUUGUUAUUUGUUGUUACAGCUUGCUGUGGUGGUAAGCCAUGCUGCUCUCUCACCUGAGCAAUAUUGGAGCUAUAAGCUGCCAAAUACUCCAAUGCCAAAGGCUGUCAAAGAAAUUCUACAUCCAGGUGAGUGUUUAAUAUCCCAAGAAUUCUUUUUUUUUUUUUUGAAUCAUGUUUACUCACCGACAAAACAGGACUACUGUGAUAUAAGCCCUCAACUUGAGAUGGUCAGGAAAGUGAGGACUGUAGAAUAUCAGACCCUGGUUUCCCAUAGAAUUGAAUUGAGCCUAAUGCAGCAAACAAUCAUGUAAUCGUGGAAGCCGGGUAAUAAUCAGAAAUGAGGUGCUUAACAUAGUUCUGUUCCUGCAAUUUAUUAAAAGAGAAAGAGCCAGGAUACUUUCUGUUUAGCAAUAUAUUUCAGAAAACAUAGGAAUAGGAUGUGUUCUGCACAUAUUGACUUAUUAUGAAAAAAAUUGUUGGAAUCAUGCAUUCAUCAGCAUGUAUAUGAGCUCUCUAGCCCAUUUUGGUGUAUUUGCAGAACUGAUGGAGGAGAAAAGCACCUCUGUAAAUGUAGGAGGUGGUGGUGUAAACGUCAAUACAGGAAAAGGGAAGCCUGGGGGUGACACCCAUGUGAACGUUGGAGGCAAAGGAGUUGGAGUGAACACGGGAAAGCCAGGGGGUGGCACUCAUGUGAAUGUUGGAGACCCUUUUAAUUACCUAUAUGCAGCCAGUGAAACUCAAAUCCAUGAAGACCCGAAUGUGGCUCUUUUCUUUCUGGAAAAGGAUAUGCACCCCGGGGCAACAAUGAGCCUGCAUUUCACUGAAAAUACAGAGAAAUCAGCUUUCUUACCUUAUCAAACUGCCCAAAAAAUACCGUUUUCAUCUGACAAGUUGCCAGAAAUUUUCAACAAGUUUUCAGUGAAACCUGGAUCACUGAAGGCAGAGAUGAUGAAGAACACAAUUAAGGAGUGCGAACAGCCAGCGAUUGAAGGAGAGGAAAAAUAUUGUGCAACCUCACUGGAGUCAAUGAUUGACUAUAGCAUUUCCAAACUAGGGAAAGUUGAUCAGGCAGUCUCAACAGAAGUGGAAAAACAAACCCCAAUGCAAAAGUAUACAAUAGCAGCUGGAGUGCAGAAGAUGACAGAUGACAAAGCUGUAGUGUGCCACAAGCAGAAUUAUGCAUAUGCUGUCUUCUAUUGCCAUAAAUCAGAAACAACAAGGGCUUACAUGGUUCCUUUAGAGGGUG
RNAcentral lists this long non-coding RNA (19799 nucleotides) under Gossypium barbadense (sea-island cotton). RNAcentral describes it as "long non-coding RNA (GBAR_LNC015946)". The record is from RNAcentral. Lineage: Eukaryota; Viridiplantae; Streptophyta; Magnoliopsida; Malvales; Malvaceae.